Long non-coding RNA from Cornus florida, 810 nucleotides. RefSeq lists it as uncharacterized. The transcript is spliced from 3 exons. NCBI's taxonomy places the organism in Eukaryota, Viridiplantae, Streptophyta, Magnoliopsida, Cornales, Cornaceae. The record is from RefSeq and is a predicted model, not a curated record.
UGUCUAUUAGGAGGAGCAAAACUUUGAACCUCGAGCGUCCCUCUCCCUUUGUCUCUCACACGCGCACGCACAGUCUGGCACACAGUUUGUUGGCGGAAAACAGCCUUUUGAAAGACAAGGAAAGCUGGGUUAAGUUCAUACACAUUGGUGGCUUCAGGUGACGUAACCCCACUGAGUUACUGUGAUUAGAGCAUCAAGAAAGUCUUAUCACACACAAAGCUACUGGUCCCAGCAUCCAGAUGAUGGUGCAAAUCUGUCAUCAGAAAGGGACCGCGGGAGAAAAUGGGAGCUAAUGAUCACAUAUAGUAUCAAAUUUACAACUUAUGACAAAAGAAUACAAUGGGGAAAGACUUAGAUUUGCUCAUAUGCAUUCAAACUUGUAUUUUUUCUAGAGCACUAAUUGAGUCAUUUCUUUAAGAAUUGAGAGGCUGGCCCUACAUUGUUUGGUGAUCAAUUAGAUCAAACCAUGGGCGACAAGUAUUAAUAUACUAAUAAUUAUAUGAUUUUGGAGUAACCCCAUUGGAAAAGGCCACUGACACUUGCCAAUAGCCUUUUAUAUAUGUAUGUAUGCAUGUGUAUACAUAUUAUAUAAUCAUGGACUUAGCUGAGUUGUUCGCACCUUGGAAUGAGGAUUAAAAAUAAAAAUAAAAACUUGGAAUAGUGAGUACAAUUUUUGAACCAUGGGGCAGUGUGUUGUUUAUCAUAAUAUGAUUCUGAUGCAUACUACAUGUUACCUUUUUUUAUAUGGCAGACCAUCUAUUCAAUUCAAUUAGGUCAUUUUUUUUUUUUUUUUUUUUUUUUUUUUUUUUU